AUGGACUCCAGGCUCUUCUUCAUGGUCUCUAGUCUCCUGUGUUCAAAACAUAUGGAGGCUGCAGUCACCCAAAGCCCAAGAAACAAGCUGACAGUAACAGGAGGAAAGGUGACAUUGAGCUGUCAUCAGACUAAUAACCACAACAACAUGUACUGGUAUCGGCAGGACAUGGGGCAUGGGCUGAGACUGAUCCAUUUGUCAUACGGUGCUGGUGCUGACAGCACUGAGAAAGGAGAUGUCCCUGAUGGGUUCAAGGCCUCCAGACCAAGUCUAAAGAACUUCUCCCUUAUUCUGGAGUCAGCAUCCCUGUCUCAGACAUCACUAUACUUCUGUGCCAGCAGUGAUGCACAGUGA
Molecule: non-coding RNA, 354 nt
Organism: Apodemus sylvaticus (European woodmouse)
Lineage: Eukaryota; Metazoa; Chordata; Mammalia; Rodentia; Muridae
Source: the annotation of a RefSeq genome assembly